AUGUGGUGAUGACUCUCCUGCGCUGUGCCCCAGAGUGUGACAGAGCUGCUGCUAUGAUGUGGAGAAGCAUCGGCUCCUCGGGAACAGCAGUGGAGAAGGUGCUGCCAGUACUGCUCCGAGUGAUGGAGGAUUGGCCAGUGCAUGGAAUGUCCACCUCCGAUGGUGACAGCAGAGAUGUCUUUGCCGUGACUGCAACCCUGGCACUGUGGCUGAUCAUCCAGGAGCCC
Pseudopipra pipra is the source of this 227-nucleotide long non-coding RNA. RefSeq lists it as uncharacterized. NCBI's taxonomy places the organism in Eukaryota, Metazoa, Chordata, Aves, Passeriformes, Pipridae. The transcript has 3 exons. The record is from RefSeq and is a predicted model, not a curated record.